UGCCCUAGUAACGGCGAGUGAAGCGGCAACAGCUCAAAUUUGAAAUCUGGCUCUUUCAGAGUCCGAGUUGUAAUUUGCAGAGGGCGCUUUGGCGUUGGCAGCGGUCCAAGUUCCUUGGAACAGGACGUCACAGAGGGUGAGAAUCCCGUACGUGGUCGCUAGUCAUCGCCGUGUAAAGCCCCUUCGACGAGUCGAGUUGUUUGGGAAUGCAGCUCUAAAUGGGAGGUAAAUUUCUUCUAAAGCUAAAUACUGGCCAGAGACCGAUAGCGCACAAGUAGAGUGAUCGAAAGAUGAAAAGCACUUUGGAAAGAGAGUCAAAUAGCACGUGAAAUUGUUGAAAGGGAAGCGCUUGCAGCCAGACUUGCCUGUAGUUGCUCAUCCGGGCUUUUGCCCGGUGCACUCUUCUGCGGGCAGGCCAGCAUCAGUUUGGGCGGUUGGAUAAAGGUCUCUGUCAUGUACCUCUCUUCGGGGAGAACUUAUAGGGGAGACGACAUGCAACCAGCCUGGACUGAGGUCCGCGCAUUUGCUAGGAUGCUGGCGUAAUGGCUGUAAGCGGCCCGUCUUGAAACACGGACCAAGGAGUCUAACAUCUAUGCGAGUGUUUGGGUGUCAAGCCCGAGCGCGUAAUGAAAGUGAACGGAGGUGGGACCCCAUUAGGGUGCACCAUCGACCGAUCCUGAUGUCUUCGGAUGGAUUUGAGUAAGAGCAUGGCUGUUGGGACCCGAAAGAUGGUGAACUAUGCUUGAAUAGGGUGAAGCCAGAGGAAACUCUGGUGGAGGCUCGCAGCGGUUCUGACGUGCAAAU
Molecule: ribosomal RNA, 804 nt
Filed under: Neocamarosporium chersinae
Lineage: Eukaryota; Fungi; Ascomycota; Dothideomycetes; Neocamarosporiaceae
Description: eukaryotic LSU rRNA
Rfam family: Eukaryotic large subunit ribosomal RNA
Source: RNAcentral